AGCGAACGCUGGCGGCAGGCUUAACACAUGCAAGUCGAACGGGCAUCUUCGGAUGUCAGUGGCAGACGGGUGAGUAACACGUGGGAACGUACCCUUCGGUUCGGAAUAACUCAGGGAAACUUGAGCUAAUACCGGAUACGCCCUUUUGGGGAAAGGUUUACUGCCGAAGGAUCGGCCCGCGUCUGAUUAGCUUGUUGGUGGGGUAUCGGCCUACCAAGGCGACGAUCAGUAGCUGGUCUGAGAGGAUGAUCAGCCACACUGGGACUGAGACACGGCCCAGACUCCUACGGGAGGCAGCAGUGGGGAAUAUUGGACAAUGGGCGCAAGCCUGAUCCAGCCAUGCCGCGUGAGUGAUGAAGGCCUUAGGGUUGUAAAGCUCUUUUGUCCGGGACGAUAAUGACGGUACCGGAAGAAUAAGCCCCGGCUAACUUCGUG
RNAcentral lists this ribosomal RNA (435 nucleotides) under uncultured bacterium. RNAcentral's name for it is "partial 16S ribosomal RNA". It matches the Rfam family "Bacterial small subunit ribosomal RNA", at positions 29 to 507 of the family's 1533-position model. The record is from RNAcentral.